Molecule: ribosomal RNA, 865 nt
Filed under: uncultured organism
Description: bacterial SSU rRNA
Rfam family: Bacterial small subunit ribosomal RNA
Source: RNAcentral
GGAGGCCCCAAGCGUUGUUCGGAUUUACUGGGCGUAAAGCGUGCGUAGGCGGCAUGAUAAGUUUGGCGUGAAAUCCCCGGGCCUAACCCGGAAAUUGCGCUGGAAACUAUCAAGCUAGAGGUGUGGAGGGGAGUAUGGAAUUCCCGGUGUAGCAGUGAAAUGCGUAGAUAUCGGGAGGAACACCAGUGGCGAAGGCGAUACUCUGGACACAUUCUGACGCUGAGGUACGAAGGCUAGGGGAGCGAAGAGGAUUAGAUACCCUCGUAGUCCUAGCAGUAAACGGUGUGCACUUGCUGUAGGGCGGUUCGACCCGCUCUGUGGCGGAGCUAACGCGUUAAGUGCACCGCCUGGGGAGUACGGCCGCAAGGUUAAAACUCAAAGAAAUUGACGGGGGCCUGCACAAGCGGUGGAGCAUGUGGCUUAAUUCGAUGCAACGCGAAGAACCUUACCUGGGCUUGACAUGUUUGUCGUCGUCCCGUGAAAGCGGGACAUCAGUUCGGCUGGACAAUCACAGGUGCUGCAUGGCUGUCGUCAGCUCGUGUCGUGAGAUGUUGGUUUAAGUACCGCAACGAGCGCAACCCCUGUGUCCUGUUGCCACGGAGAACACGUUUCUCCAGCACUCUGGACAGACUGCCUCAUUUGAAUGAGGAGGAAGGUGGGGAUGACGUCAAGUCAGUAUGGCCCUUACGCCCAGGGCUGCACACGUGCUACAAUGCCUAGUACAAUGGGAAGCGAAAUCGCGAGAUGGAGCAAAUCCCCAAAACUAGGCUCAGUUCGGAUUGGAGUCUGCAACUCGACUCCAUGAAGUUGGAAUCGCUAGUAACGGCGCAUCAGCUACGGCGCCGUGAAUACGUUCCCAGGCCUU